Molecule: long non-coding RNA, 933 nt
Organism: Phyllostomus hastatus (greater spear-nosed bat)
Lineage: Eukaryota; Metazoa; Chordata; Mammalia; Chiroptera; Phyllostomidae
Exons: 3
Source: RefSeq, a predicted model, not a curated record
GCCGAGGCACUGAGCGCGGCAGCCUGAACCCUGCGCGAGCCAGUCCCGCUGCUGGGCGUCGGCGCAGAGCCGAGGUAGUGGGUGGGUGGCCCUAGCCAGACGGAAAAUGCACUGAACCUCGCGGUGAACGGCGCAGAGACACGGGGCGCAGCUGCCCUGGGAAGAUGGCUGGAGCUAUGGAAGUGAAAAGAUAGUCCCCAAAUCCUUACCUUCUUGGAAUGCAUGUGCUAGCAGGAUCAACAGCCUAGGGUGAUGAACCAGGUGUGGAAGUUGGUGGGGCCACCACCACAGACCACAGGAGGGACACUUGCAAGCCAGGGUCCAGCCUUGCAUGUGACUUACACAGUGUUUUACAAGACUUCACCACUGGCAGGACUUUCCUCUUGAAACCUGUCUCUUCCUGUUAACUUCACACACUAAGCAAGUCAUUUCCCUGCCAUCCAUCCUUCCCCAGCCUUCAACUCACCAUCAGUCCUUCCACAAUCCCAAAUCGCUCAUGAAUGACCUUGGCGAGGGGGGCCAGGCAGUUGGUGGUACAGGAUGCAUUGCUGAAACAGCCCAGUGUGCAAGGACACUGUGAGGUGAGGGUCAGAGCUGCCCUACCACCCUUACCUCACUUUGGGGAUAUGCUCAUAGGCUUGGUUUUGUGAAGAGUCAGGAUGGGGAUGAGUGGGAUCAUUGGGGAUGCCUUCAGACAAGGAGGCACCAGAAGUGCAGCUGGGGGAAGCUCCCCAAGCAUGUUCUCCAGAAGUCAUGUAUUUCUAACACUUUUAGGGCAAUGUGAACAUGGUGGCUGUUAAGGCUUUGGGAAGGAGAAGCAGAUGGAUGUGAAAGGAAUACCAGUAGGGGUGGAGCUGGGGAGGCUGAGUCUGAUUUUGAUCCCUCCUCAUCACGGGCUGGCAUGUCCUCUUGGGUACCAUGCACAGGAUGGUA